This 259-nucleotide long non-coding RNA is filed under the name Vigna radiata. RNAcentral's name for it is "long non-coding RNA (VRAD_LNC001378)". The record is from RNAcentral. Lineage: Eukaryota; Viridiplantae; Streptophyta; Magnoliopsida; Fabales; Fabaceae.
GGGGGACGAACAAAUAGGGUUAGUGGAUAUGUGAGUUAUAAAAAGUAGAAAGGUAAAGGGAGAUAAAUUAUCUUUACAUAGAAAGUUUGGAAACGGAGGUAAAAGUAGUGUGUACAUUGGGAGAUAGUUGCUGGAAGAUCAUAAAAGUGGUUUGAAGUUGUACUGGGGAGCAAGAACGUGAGCUUAGAUAGGUGAAAGUUUUGGCUGGGACCCUAGAGUAAAGAAAGGAAUCGAGGACCAUCCAAGGUAAGGGAAGCUA